CAAUAGCGUAUAUUAAAGUUGUUGCGGUUAAAAAGCUCGUAGUUGGAUUUCUGCUGAGAACGACCGGUCCGCCCUCUGGGUGUGUAUCUGGCUCUUUCUUGGCAUCUUCUUGGUGAACGUUGCUGCACUUGACUGUGUGGAGCGCUACCCAGGACUUUUACUUUGAGGAAAUUAGAGUGUUUCAAGCAGGCUUACGCCUUGAAUACAUUAGCAUGGAAUAAUAAGAUAGGACCUCGGUUCUAUUUUGUUGGUUUCUAGAGCUGAGGUAAUGAUUAAUAGGGAUAGUUGGGGGCAUUCGUAUUUAACUGUCAGAGGUGAAAUUCUCGGAUUUGUUAAAGACGGACUACUGCGAAAGCAUUUGCCAAGGAUGUUUUCAUUG
Molecule: ribosomal RNA, 379 nt
Filed under: uncultured eukaryote
Lineage: Eukaryota
Description: partial 18S ribosomal RNA
Rfam family: Eukaryotic small subunit ribosomal RNA
Source: RNAcentral